CGCUUAGCGAAUGUUUUACCCUGCGCGGUGGACUUCGCUUUGAAUCUUGGCGGCGACGAAUUCAAUUCAAGGCUCUCAAAGCGGGCGUCACUGUGUCAACGGUGAGUGCCCACCUCGACUUGUUGCCAUGACGACGAGGAGCCAAAAUUCACCGCUGGCCCUCGAGGUCAUGGGAGUUCACUUCAGAGCUGGCGAAGCCUUUCGGAUUAAAGACUGAAGGCAGUCGGGCUUGCUCUGCAUUCAACUCAGCCUUGCCGGUGCUCGGAGAGUCAGGGCCAGACAGUCUACCGAUGUUAUUGCCCCAAAUGGCAGCGGGACCAAGGUGACACAAAGCACCAUUUGCGAUGACGAAAACGUAUCAAGCUGUUUAUAUUACGAUCCUAAAUACAAUCUCGCGCAGCUUCAAAGUGCAAUGUUGCCACGCUCUGUAAUAAACGGUGGUGCAAUAAUUGCCAAUUAUGCCUUACUUGCAUCUAUUUUUUACUGGAAAAAAAAUAAUAGCUCGCAGCAUGCGGCUCAUUGCAGAUGAUUACUGUGUGCUUCCACUUCUGAGCAUAAACAGGAUAUAAAAGGCAUACAAUCAUGAGUCGUUUUUAUCAAUGGCGCACAAAUGAAGAUAAAUGGACUUUGCUUGCUUUCUGGUCUCUACGUCGUCUUUCAAUCAAACUUUUCAAAACAUGGGACUUC
This is a long non-coding RNA of Syngnathus acus (greater pipefish), 687 nucleotides long. RefSeq lists it as uncharacterized. The transcript is spliced from 3 exons. Lineage: Eukaryota; Metazoa; Chordata; Actinopteri; Syngnathiformes; Syngnathidae. The record is from RefSeq and is a predicted model, not a curated record.